AUGCAGCCUAGAUGUGACAACACGCUUACUUCUGUAUCAUGAUUCCCCAGGAAAAAAAAAAUUGCAAAAACUGACAGAAGAAAUUCUGUUUGAGCACCUGGGCUGAUUCUGAUUAUAAGGAGAGGAAGGGUACUUAUGUAAAAGGGGAGGAAGGGUACUAUGCACAGGACAAAAGUCACAUUUUCUUCUGAGGUUUCACACUGGCAAGGCAGUAAGGGCUAAAUCCUGCCAGUUGCUUCUUGCUGUGCUGUGAGUGAGGAGGAAAGAGCUGCUCCCCAGGCAGUACCAGGAGAUGCAGCCUGCUGGGGUGCCUCAGUGUGUGUCUGAAGGAAUGGGAUGCUCUCACACACAGCAGCCCCUGGUAGGGGAGGCCCUGCUUUGCCUCCAUGCAGAGAAACAAGAACUCCCCUGUGCUGGGUCCCACUGUGAAAUCCUGCUCAUCAGCACCAGGAUUCUCUCCAGGAAGGAUACAUCUGCCAACCUCACAGCUGCGGCUCGCCAAACAGCACACCAGCAUUUGGACUACAAUUUCUCUGUGGGGUUGGCAGAGCUCUGACAUCCGCCAGGACCUGAUCCAAAGCUCAUGGGAUUUAAUGGGGGAAAAAAAAGUCCAUUGAUCUUGGUGGCUUUGGAUCUGUCCUUUUGCUCGUCUCCUUUGAUGAUUUAUACAACACUGACAUGCAUAUUUCACUUCUGAAGCACACAGAGCACAUGGUUUUAAUCUCACCAUUUCCCUGGUGACAGGGAAGUAACUGUGUUGGCAGCUAAGACACUGAAAAACAUUCAUUAUUCUGUAUAUUAUUAUUACUUUUUACUUCCCCACAGAAGGUAGAAAUGACAAUAAAAAAAUCACAAAUAUUUUGUUUUACGAUCUUUGCUUGCCCUUAAAGGCACAGUCUUUAUUGUAAAGUUAAAAAAAAUUGUAAAGUGCAAAUUUUUGUGUGUGCGUAAAAAUGAUGAGAAUGUUUUGUAUUGAAGUGGGAGGUAAGAGAACAUCAAUAACUAAAAGCCACUGGAAAAUAAAUUUUUUAAAUGCCCCUCUUCCCUAGAAACAGAUUAGAGAGGGAAUCUUUCCAAAGUGCCAGGAAAUUCUCUUCUCAGGUUGGAAGGUAAGAACAUUUCAAUCUUGUGAAGUCUUUGUUUAUAGCAUCAAGAUUACUGGGCCACUGGCAGCAGUUCUCUAUCAGGUAUGCUGAUCUGCACCAAGUCCUACAGUAGCAGUGGCUACAAAACAAACUUAAAGUAAGUCACAGCUCAAGAUUCCUCAUGACCUCAAGAGCAGCUUUCUAGUGCAGCCAGGGCAGCUAUGUUUUCUGUCAGACCCAGUAUCCCAUGAAUUUCCCCAAGGGAUCCCCCCUCAGCACCCAAGUUCAUGGAGACAGAGCAGCUCCUGCCCACAGAACAGACCCACAAACUGCCAGGGAUUUUCAUAAAGCAGGAGGGAUGCUUUGCUAUAUUUUUAGAUUUUUCAUUCCUAACCCAACACCUUUUUCCUUCUUUGUUUCCUCACUGGCUAGUGCAAUUUUUUCAGCACUAGAUGUCAGUGUGGACUUGCAAUACCAGACCGCUCUGCAAGUUUUCUUUAACAACAAAGAAAUGCUAUCCAGAAUGAAUCCAAGCCUCUCCAGCCUCAUGAUAUGCUUUCUACAAAACAGGUCUUUUUUUGCUGUUUAAACUCCAUGUGGAAAUUGUAGAACCGCUUUCUGUCCUUGAUUUGGAUUAAUAUGGCUGUAAAAGCACCUUAUCUAAAUUAUGAUCAUACCAUGACUGAGUUAAACAGGAGUUAUCAUGAGUCCAAAGGAAAAGAUUUGUUUAGAAAAUAAUAAAGAAAAAUAAAUGGUUCUGAAUUACCUGUAUAAUUUGUGACCCUGCUAAGAAAGCAUUGCACAAGUGGUCCAUGGGGAUGGUUGAUCCUGCAACUAAGUGUACUCAUCUCAACAAGAACCUACUGACAAGGUUGAGUCUUUGCUUUCCUACUGCCUAGAAAGAUCCUGCAUCAUCUGGAAGUGUUUUGCUACACCAGGCAGUGACAAGAGCUGUUCUAGGGUGCACUUUAUUUACUAUUUGCCUGGCAUUUUCUGAAUAUUGAAAUGAAACCAGCUUGGGGCAGAACAACCAGCCAGGAAGUGUAUGUUGGCUUUCUGAAGUGAUGAAAUGACUGGUUUCUACCACUCUUCAGAAAGCAUUUUGCUUCUUUAAGAAAUUUAAGUCCCUCAUUCUCUAUUUUGCUAUGGGAAGGCUGAGGAACAUGGAUGAACCCUGUCUCCCCUCAUUUUGCAAGCUGCAAUCUAGAACAAGACACAGCUCCUCUUGCUCCUGGAGAAGUACAAACUGGGGAAAGGGAAAGCAGAGAGAGGAGGAAGUGGGUUCACAAUUCUGAUUUCUCAUCUCUUGCGUUCAUGAGUUUUGGCUUCUGUCGAGUGGCUGUGAGCCAACACGACAGAUGGAGCCUUUUACAGCACCCUCAUGCUUGGUUUCCAGCAGGCGUGCUGCACAGAAGCCGGGGCAGAAAACGUUUCUGGCAGAGAGCACAGGGCUCUCUGACACCCUCCUGACCCCGUACUGCUGUAGCUGUGAUCUAGGCCUUCAGAAAAAUCCACUUACAUGCCUUUGUGUUCUUCACUAAGCAUCAGCUAAUGAAGUAUUAUCCUGAUACAUGCGUGAGUGUGCCUAGCUUUUACUGCACUUUGUGGUUGUUGCUGUCCCUUUGACUCCUGCUGCACAAAGUCACUGUGACACAUGUGACUGCCCAAGCAGCUGUGCUUAACAUUCCUAUGUGGUUUUGUUUCUCAUUAUUAGGCUUAUCAGCAGACUGCAAGUAGGGGGGGCAUAGAAUAUCAAUUAAUAAUUAAUGCAAAAUAUUAGCAAAUACUGUGCAAAAAUAAGGACAGAGACAUUUUUCCUCUGGGCUCUGAGAAGUUAAGGAAAUAUUUGGGCACACCUGUCACCUGGUAUGUUCAAGGAAACUGGUCAAGAAUCAAGUUCAUUAUUUUCACGUGCUGAUAGACAAAGUGGUGCAACCAGAACUGAAGUGGAGAGAGACCAGGAAGAAGUGAGGGGAGAAAGCUGGCUCAGAGGCGUGGCAUGCUUUUUUCCUGAAGAUGUAGGUGCUAUUUGAGAGAUGUGCCUUGUUUAGAUUCACACUUGAUAGUGAGAGAGCUGCAAAUAUGUCCUAGAUGCAAAACAAAAAAAAAAAAAAAACAAAAAAAAAAAAAAAAGAAAAAAAAAAAAAAAAAGAAAAUCAAAUUGCACAGGGAGCAGUCAUGCUCUCUGAGAAGGGAACCCAGGCUGUCCUGUUGUGAUUUUUUUUUUUUCUGUGAAAUAUCAUAUGCUGUUAAAUGUAACUUUCUGGCUGUAAGACGGAGUAACUGGAUGUCUUUUUGUAGGGCUUUUUUUUUUCCAUCACACACUUCAUAAUUUAAUUCUAAAUUGAAUAAAAUAUUAUUCACAGUCAAAUAUGAUCUGCAUUUAAUACCUGCUCAAUUCCUAAAUCCACUGUAAAAAAAAAUAUAGAAAGUGCUGUGAUACUGUGUAGCAAUAUACUAUUUUCAAUAUGCUGUUUAUUCUAGCAGCUGAACAGCUCUACUAACACUCAGUAGUGGAAAUUUUAAAAACUCCAUAAAACUCUGAGCAUGCUCCCUGUAACCCUGCUCCAAUAGGGCUCAACAUGCCACAGGCAUUCUGUGAGCAGCAGAAAUUAUGAGUCAUGUUUGCAACAUCCUUUGCCCAAGCAGAUUCCUGGAAUCUAGCAGGAUAGGAAUUCCUACAGUAGCUUUCCUUUCUGUGGGAACAUUAGAAUCUCUGUCUCCUACACAACCACUUAUUUUCUAUGUUCAUGUCUCUGAGAGAUUUGGCUGAAGCUGGACAAGGAUUUAAAAAGUAACCAGUGGUGGCAGAGCAGACAGCAUAUCCACACUGAUUUUCUUCCUGCAGGGAAUUGAACUAGAAAGUGCUCAUGAUUGAUCUACUUUGGAGUAUCUACCACUGCCAGCAGAGACUGCAGCUUAUAAUUCACAAGUGGGGAUGACAUAGCUUGGGACGGCAGAUUAUCGACCCCAGCUGUCUGCCCAGCACCCAGCACACAAAAGACUCUUCAUGAGACAGCUGUGGAAUCACUGCCUCUUGCUGAAACGGGCAAACAGUUUACACCAGCAUUCUCUAAAUGGGGUUCAGAGUAUUCACAGAAUCUCAGCUAUCCAGAAAAGUGGUGUUGGAAGGAAGAGUUAGGGCUAGUACCCUCCUGUGCCACCCCAGCCAUGGCACCUCUUCUUGCAGACCCAGCUGUGAGCUGCAGCAAUGCCAGAAUCUGAUGCCACAUGGAGUUGUAAGAGUCAUGGCAAAAGGAGAGGGAACAGGAGGCCUUUCACAUCUGAGAAGGAGCAUCAAAGAUGCCACAAGUGUAAAUGUAAUGCUCCAUAAUGCUUUGUACUUUAAUUAAAGUUUGGAUCAGUUUUAUGGUAUUAAUUAUAACAUAGCUUGGAUACUGUCCUACUGUGACAUAGGAAGGAAUGUAGCUGGAAUCCCUACUGAGAGACUAUGAUGCAGAGUCCUGAUGCACUGCUUCAUGGUGACCUAGUCUAUUUUAGAGCAGACAAAAACAAGCAGUUUCCUCAGAGGACCGACUGUAGGAAUCACGUUUGUAUAAAUUCAAUGUGUGUGACACUCAGUAUCAAACAAGGCACAAAACACUUGUAUGUCCUUGAAUGUUUUGUUAUGAUACUGUGUAGCAACUGAGCCUGCUAUCCACAGGGGUAUUAUUCACUGGGAUGAAAUUUACAGUUUAGUUAAUCCUCCUGUAAAAGAACGUGACUUUGAGUGAGAGACUAGGGUAUACAGGGAUUUUCCUGUAUCACCUGUGAACCAAAGGUGUCAGAGAUUUUCGUCCUUCUAGUCCUGCUUCUCGAU
This is a long non-coding RNA of Passer domesticus (house sparrow), 4905 nucleotides long. RefSeq lists it as uncharacterized. The transcript has 3 exons. The record is from RefSeq and is a predicted model, not a curated record. Lineage: Eukaryota; Metazoa; Chordata; Aves; Passeriformes; Passeridae.